This 86-nucleotide transfer RNA is filed under the name Thalassoglobus neptunius. RNAcentral describes it as "Planctomycetes bacterium KOR42 tRNA-Ser". It matches the Rfam family "tRNA". Rfam says of the family: Transfer RNA (tRNA) molecules are approximately 80 nucleotides in length. Their secondary structure includes four short double-helical elements and three loops (D, anti-codon, and T loops). Lineage: Bacteria; Pseudomonadati; Planctomycetota; Planctomycetia; Planctomycetales; Planctomycetaceae. The record is from RNAcentral.
GGAAGGUAGCCGGAUACGGUUGGCCGGACCGCACUGCUAACGCGGCUCUCCACUGGAGAUGAGGGUUCGAAUCCCUUGCCUUCCGC